RNAcentral lists this ribosomal RNA (1079 nucleotides) under uncultured dinoflagellate. RNAcentral describes it as "bacterial SSU rRNA". It matches the Rfam family "Eukaryotic small subunit ribosomal RNA", at positions 577 to 1831 of the family's 1831-position model. The record is from RNAcentral. Lineage: Eukaryota; Dinophyceae.
CGGUAAUUCCAGCUCCGAUAGCGUAUAUUAAAGUUGUUGCGGUUAAAAAGCUCGUAGUUGGAUUUCUGCCGAGGACAUCCGGUCCGCCCUCUGGGUGAGCAUCUGGUUUGGCCUGGGGAACGUAUCUGCACUUCAUUGUGUGGUGCGGUAUCCAGGACUUUUACUUUGAGGAAAUUAGAGUGUUUCAAGCAGGCCUACGCCUUGAAUACAUUAACAUGGAAUAAUAAGAUAGGACUUCGGUUCUAUUUGGUUGGUUUCUAGAACUGAAGUAAUGAUUAAUAGGGAUAGUUGGGGGCAUUCGUACUUAACUGUCACAGGUGGAAUUCUUGGAUUUGUUAAAGACGAACUACUGCGAAAGCAUUUGCCAAGGAUGUUUUCAUUGAUCAAGAACGAAAGUUAGGGGAUCGAAGACGAUCAGAUACCGUGCUAGUCUUAACCAUAAACCAUGCCGACUAGAGAUUGGAGGUCGUUUCAUUACGACUCCUUCAGCUCCUUAUGAUAAAUCAAAGUCUUUGGGUUCCGGGGGGAGUAUGGUCGCAAGGCUGAAACUUAAAUGAAUUGACGGAAGGGCACCGCCAGGAGUGGAGCCUGCGGCUUAAUUUGACUCAACGCAGGGAAACUUAUCAGGUCCUAACAUAAUGAGGAUGGUCAGAAUGACAGUUCUUUUUCGAUUCUAUGGGUGGCAUGUCCGUUUUUAGUUAGUGAAGUGAUUAGUUUGUUUAAUUACGUAAACGAACGAGACCUUAACAUAUUAAAUAGUUACGCGAAACUCUCGUGUCGAGGCUAACUUAUUAGAGGGACUUGUCGUAUGCAACGCAAGGAAGUUCGAGACAAUAUCAGGUAUGUGAUUCGAUUAGAUGUUCUGGGCUCCACGCACACUACUCCAAUGCACUCAACGAGAUUAUAACCCUGUCCAGUAGGGUAGUGUAAUGUUAUGAAAUUGCAUCGGGAUGGGGAUAGAGUAUUUCAUAUUCUUAUCCUGCAACGAGUCUACUAUGGCUUGUGUCAUCAGCGUCGUGUAGAUUACGUUCCCUGUAGCAGAGUACGCACCAAGCAAGGGUGAAUCCAGCACACGUGGC